This 254-nucleotide ribosomal RNA is filed under the name uncultured prokaryote. Its description in RNAcentral is "partial 16S ribosomal RNA". It matches the Rfam family "Bacterial small subunit ribosomal RNA", at positions 524 to 776 of the family's 1533-position model. The record is from RNAcentral.
UACGAAGGGGGCUAGCGUUGUUCGGAAUUACUGGGCGUAAAGCGCGCGUAGGCGGUUUUGCAAGCCAGAGGUGAAAUGCCUGAGCUCAACUUAGGAAUUGCCUUUGGGACUGCGAGGCUUUGAGGACUGGAGAGGUGAGUGGAACUGCGAGUGUAGAGGUGAAAUUCGUAGAUAUUCGCAAGAACACCAGUGGCGAAGGCGGCUCACUGGCCCGAUACUGACGCUGAGGCACGAAAGCGUGGGGAGCAAACAGG